UUGGGGAAUCUUCCACAAUGGGCGAAAGCCUGAUGGAGCAACGCCGCGUGGGUGAAGAAGGUCUUCGGAUCGUAAAACCCUGUUGUUAGAGAAGAAAGUGCGUGAGAGUAAACUGUUCACGUUUCGACGGUAUCUAACCAGAAAGCCACGGCUAACUACGUGCC
RNAcentral lists this ribosomal RNA (164 nucleotides) under uncultured bacterium. RNAcentral's name for it is "partial 16S ribosomal RNA". It matches the Rfam family "Bacterial small subunit ribosomal RNA", at positions 354 to 509 of the family's 1533-position model. The record is from RNAcentral.